RNAcentral lists this ribosomal RNA (407 nucleotides) under uncultured bacterium. RNAcentral describes it as "partial 16S ribosomal RNA". It matches the Rfam family "Bacterial small subunit ribosomal RNA", at positions 28 to 526 of the family's 1533-position model. The record is from RNAcentral.
GACGAACGCUGGCGGCGUGCCUAAUACAUGCAAGUAGAACGCAGUUGCGAACGGGUGAGUAAUGCGUAGGUAAUAGCCUCAUAGCGGGGGAUAACUAUUGGAAACGAUAGCUAAUACCGCUAACUGUGAGAUGGACCUGCGUUGUAUUAGCUAGUUGGUGAGGUAAAGGCUCACCAAGGCGACGUUACAUAGCCGACCUGAUAGGGUGGUCGGCCACACUGGGACUGAGACACGACCCAGACUCCUACUGGAGGCAGCAGUAGGGAAUCUGCGGCAAUGGACGGAAGUCUGGCCGAGCAACGCCGCGUGAGUGAAGAAGGUGUGCGGAUCGUAAAGGUCUGUUGUAAGAGAAGCGGUAACUAAACAGAAAGGGACGGCUAACUACGUGCCAGCGGCCGCGGUAAUAC